GACGAACGCUGGCGGCGUGCUUAACACAUGCAAGUCGAACGGAAAGGCCCUGCUUUUGUGGGGUGCUCGAGUGGCGAACGGGUGAGUAACACGUGAGUAACCUGCCCUUGACUUUGGGAUAACUUCAGGAAACUGGGGCUAAUACCGGAUAGGAGCUCCUGCUGCAUGGUGGGGGUUGGAAAGUUUCGGCGGUUGGGGAUGGACUCGCGGCUUAUCAGCUUGUUGGUGGGGUAGUGGCUUACCAAGGCUUUGACGGGUAGCCGGCCUGAGCGGGUGAGCGGCCACAUUGGGACUGAGAUGCGGCCCAGACUCCUACGGGAGGCAGCAGUGGGGAAUAUUGCACUAUGGGCGGAAGCCUGAUGCAGCAACGCCGCGUGCGGGAUGACAGCCUUCGGGUUGUAAACCGCUUUCGCCUGUGACGAAGCGUGAGUGACGGUAAUGGGUAAAGAAGCACCGGCUAACUACGUG
RNAcentral lists this ribosomal RNA (468 nucleotides) under uncultured bacterium. RNAcentral describes it as "partial 16S ribosomal RNA". It matches the Rfam family "Bacterial small subunit ribosomal RNA", at positions 28 to 507 of the family's 1533-position model. The record is from RNAcentral.